GUCGUCGCGAGGCGGGGUGGGAAGCAACCGGAGACGAACUGGCGGUCCGUAGGAUGACGAACUCGAUUCGGCCGGGUCAGGUGGCGAGCUUGCUUGGAUAUAGCGAAGCCUGAAACCCAACCGCUGCGCUGGAAUGGCGAACAAUGCGACGGCGGGACCUGCCAGGUGGUUGGAGGCGGAACGUCAGGAAGGGUGCACGA
Halomonas sp. BC04 is the source of this 200-nucleotide non-coding RNA. Lineage: Bacteria; Pseudomonadati; Pseudomonadota; Gammaproteobacteria; Oceanospirillales; Halomonadaceae. The record is from Rfam.